RNAcentral lists this ribosomal RNA (142 nucleotides) under Klebsiella pneumoniae. RNAcentral's name for it is "partial 16S ribosomal RNA". It matches the Rfam family "Bacterial small subunit ribosomal RNA", at positions 1 to 138 of the family's 1533-position model. Lineage: Bacteria; Pseudomonadati; Pseudomonadota; Gammaproteobacteria; Enterobacterales; Enterobacteriaceae. The record is from RNAcentral.
AAAUGGAAGAUUUUGUUCAUGGCUCAGAUUGAUCGCUGCCGGCAGGCCUAACACAUGAAAGUCGACCGGUAGCACAGAGAACUUGCUCCGGGGUGCCGAGCGGCGAACGGGUGGGCAAGGUUUGGGAAACUGCCUGAUGGAG